UCCUUAUAUAACGAUAUUAUACGCAAGACAGUAUAGUCGCUCCCUGUAAGGAAUAAAAUGCGAGAGGUGGUGUUGUAUUAGUGAGAUAACAUCAAGGUUGAAAUACCAAUGCCUCUCAGGAUAACCGUAAGUCCUUAAGAAUUAUUAUUCUUUAAAAUUAAUCUUUUAGAAUUAUGAAAGUCAAAUUUGGUACUUUUAUAUAUUUUAAAAGUUACGGUACU
RNAcentral lists this non-coding RNA (221 nucleotides) under unclassified sequences. Its description in RNAcentral is "IS605-orfB-I RNA". It matches the Rfam family "IS605-orfB-I RNA". The record is from Rfam by way of RNAcentral.